AUUGAACGCUGGCGGCAGGCCUAACACAUGCAAGUCGAGCGGAGCGGCGGACGGGUGAGUAAUGCCUAGGAAUCUGCCUGGUAGUGGGGGAUACCGUCCGGCAACGGGCGCUAAUACCGCAUACUAUCAGAUGAGCCUAGGUGGGAUUAGCUGGUUGGUGGGGUAAAGGCCUACCUAGGCGACGAUCCGUAACUGGUCUUAGAGGAUGAUCAGUCACACUGGAACUGAGACACGGUCCAGGCUCCUACGGGAGGCAGCGGUGGGGAAUAUUGCACAAUGGGCGAACGCCUGGUCCAGCCAUGCCGCGUGUGUGAAGAAGGUCUUCGGAUUGUAAAGCACUUUAAGUUGGGAGGCGUUAUCAAAAGAGUAAGCACCGGCUAACUUCGUGCCAGCAGCCGCGGUAAUAC
Molecule: ribosomal RNA, 407 nt
Filed under: uncultured bacterium
Lineage: Bacteria
Description: partial 16S ribosomal RNA
Rfam family: Bacterial small subunit ribosomal RNA
Source: RNAcentral